Molecule: ribosomal RNA, 253 nt
Filed under: uncultured bacterium
Lineage: Bacteria
Description: partial 16S ribosomal RNA
Rfam family: Bacterial small subunit ribosomal RNA
Source: RNAcentral
UACGAAGGGGCUAGCGUUGCUCGGAAUUACUGGGCGUAAAGAGCGUGUAGGCGGUUCGGUAGGUCCGUUGUGAAAACUCGAGCUCACCUCGAGACGCCGAUGGAAACCCCGGAACCUACGAGUCGGCAAAGAGGAGAGUGGAAUUCCGUGGUGUGAGCGGUGAAAUGCGCAGAUAUCAGGAAGACACCGUGGCUAAGGCGGCUCUCUAGUACGGUACUGACGCUGAGACGCGAAAGCGUGGGGAGCGAACAGG